GAUCCUGGCUCAGAACGAACGCUGGCGGCAUGGAUUAGGCAUGCAAGUCGAACGAAGCAGCAAUGCUUAGUGGCGCAAGGGUGAGGAACACGUGAGUGACCUACCCGCAAGUUUGGAACAGCUCCUGGAAACGGGAAUUAAUACCGGAUGUGAUCAAUGAGCUGCAUGGUUUAUUGAUUAAAGCAGUAAUGCGCUUGCGGAUGGGCUCGCGUCCCAUUAGCUAGUUGGUGAGGUAACGGCCCACCAAGGCCAUGAUGGGUAGCUGGUCUGAGAGGACGACCAGCCACACUGGGACUGAGAACUGCCCAGACUCCUACGGGAGGCUGCAGUCGAGAAUUUUGGGCAAUGGACGAAAGUCUGAACCCCCAGCAAUGCCGCGUGCGGGAUGAAGGUCUUCGGAUUGUAAACCGCUGUUUGGAGGGACGAAAAUUGACGGUACUUCCAGAGGAAGCCACGGCUAACUACGUGCCAGCAGCGGC
Molecule: ribosomal RNA, 479 nt
Filed under: uncultured bacterium
Lineage: Bacteria
Description: bacterial SSU rRNA
Rfam family: Bacterial small subunit ribosomal RNA
Source: RNAcentral